CAGCCGUAAACUAUGCGCGUUAGGUGUACUGGUGACCACGAGUCACCGGGGUGCCGAAGGGAAACCGUGAAACGUGCCGCCUGGGAAGUACGGUCGCAAGGCUGCAACUUAAAGGAAUUGGCGGGGGAGCACCACAACGGGUGGAGCCUGCGGUUUAAUUGGACUCAACGCCGGAAAUCUCACCGGAUAGGACAGACAUAUGAUAGUCGGGCUGAAGACUCUACUUGAUGAUCUGAGAGGAGGUGCAUGGCGUCAGUGACU
Molecule: ribosomal RNA, 261 nt
Filed under: uncultured archaeon
Lineage: Archaea
Description: partial 16S ribosomal RNA
Rfam family: Archaeal small subunit ribosomal RNA
Source: RNAcentral